AUUAGCGAGUAUUCACUGACUUUUAAUGAUUUUUACUUCAGAAUUAGUGUAUAAUCACUAAACGAUCAGUGUAUUUAUUUCACUAAUUGGCAAGUUAUGUACCGCUGAAAUUAGUGUAUUUUUACUGAUUGUAAUUUAGAGAAAUUUUUUUAAGGAAAAUUUUAUAUUUUUUUAUCUUUUGUUGAGAGUCGAGAACAACAAGAUCAUUAUUGAUUGGUUCCAUAAAGAUACGUUUUCGGGAAGAUAUUUGUCGUUUUUCUCGCAUCAUCUCCGUUGUCACAAAAUAGGAACAAUUUAUAGUCUAAUAGAUAGAGCAGUUAUGUUAUCAGAUCCAUAUUUUUGGUUAAAAAAACCUCGAAUUUUGCAUCAAUAUAUUAUUGGACAAUGGUUAUCCAUUGAAUCUUGUUUUUCAUGAAAUUAAUAACAGACUUAAGAAACAUUUCAGUAAUCAAGUGGAACUCACAGACCGUCAAAUUAAUCAGGCUACAACGAAAAGUCAACGCAUAAAGAAAAAAUAUUUUGUAUUACCUUAUAUUAGACAUUAGUUUCGAAGUUUAACAUUUUUUAACACAGCUGGUUUUUAAUCGCGGUUAUAAUUAUAUAAUGUUUAUUGAAUAAAUUAUAUUGUUAUUAGUAAGAUUUGUCUUGGCUCGAUAUUGACCUGUUAUCGUAUUAUUUUUGUGUUAUAUUUUUUCUUAUAUAAUAUAUAUAUAUAUAUACGUAUAUAUAAUAUAAUAAUUGUUGACUUUUUUCAUGUACACGUCUUACUUUAUAUCGCGUUUUAUUUUAAUUACCCUCAAGUUAAUGUGUCAUUAAAUCAAACAUAUCACCAUUCGUGGAAUUAUAGGACGAUAUAUUUAAUGACUUUGAUGGUGGAUAAAUUUAGCGGUUCUCGUCGAUACUCGUGGGAACUGAGCGGCGAGAUCGCUAGAAAGUAGAAUACUAUAUAUGUAUACGUAAAAGCGAUAUUACACCCCAGUCGAAUUGUGGAGGCCGCAAUGGCGCAACAAUUGGAACAGACGCUACAAACUCCCUUAUCCAAGUUAUUACCGAAAUAUAUCUCCACUCGAUAUAUGUACACAUAUUUACCAUCGCUGAUGCAAAUAACACGCCACACAACCGUUCUAUUGUCAAACCGUGCAAUGUUACCGGAUCCAAAACUCCAUAAAUCAUAUGCUACAUGCCAGUUAAUCAUAAAUUAAUUAGUAGGUAACGGAAAUUAUUAUUAGCAAUUUUAUAAUUAGCGCCAUUUCAUUUUCGAAUCCAACAUUCCCAAUUUUAAGUCGUUAUUUUUCUUUACAUUUUUUGUUACAUUAGAUGAUAUCGUUCCAAUCGAAUUAUUUUGUUUCAUUCAAAGCUAUUAUAUGUAUAAAUUCCAAUCCAGGAAAAGGACUAGAAUAGAUAAUAAAGAUAAAUUAAAAAUCGAUUUUUAUUGCGCGAGAAAAAGUAAACUGAUGUUCCGUUACUCCGGAAAUUAUUCAUUUCCAAAAAGUUUAUUUCAUAAUCAAUUUAGAAGUGAAGCGCAUUUUUAGAUCAAUCGCUAAGUUAUCCCGUUUUAAAUGUAAAUAUGAAAAUUCCGACUUUGUUACUUUCAAAAUUAUAUAUCAUAGUCUAUUAUCUCUCUCUUUGUUUUAGGUGACAUACAAAAUUUCGCGACUUUAGUUAUAAAAUAUUCUACAACAUAAAAUAAUCAUAAAACAAAUACCGCACACAAAUACAAAAUUUUUAAGACAUAAUAAAAAAAUCUGUCCUUUUACCCUGCACGUUAUGUUGCAAAAACAAUACGUGAAUAAAUAUAUUUUUUAUAGAAGCUAUUGAUAUUUUUCAUUGUAACUCUAUUGAUAUCACAUGAACCAAUUUUAUGUAACGAUAAGAGUUAUGUAUUAUUACCGUAGAUCAAUGGCUUAAUUACUGACAAUGUCCUAAAUACUAUAGAAAUCAGAUCUUAAAUGCUUUUUUAAUUAGAAGAUUUCAAUUUUACUUUUAAUCAAAUUAUAAUAAGACCUUAAUAAUUCGCGUAAAAUCAAGUACAAUGUAUAAAUAAUUUAUAUAUUUAGAAAAAUCACAUUUAAGAUCAAAUUUCCAGUAUUUAGUGUUAUUUAAUAAUGUUUGGAUCUAUCGUUCGCAUUGUACGUAAGGAAAUUAAAAACAAGCAGCAUUGAUGUUUUAAGAUAGAUACAGAAACUUUAGAGAUUUUUCUUUAUUUAUAAGUAACACAAAACUAUUUUUCUCAGAUAGACAGCGCGAUGGAUACUUUUCACAUUGCGGACCGAUCCCGGACCCCGAAAGGCUCUCUCUUCCAUCCCUACGAAUACAGCCCUGGGACGCCACGGGGCUUAAUAUCUCUACGAGGGUAACAGAGAGGAUGGAAGAUAGGGGCGAUCUUACGGGAGGGAGUGCUGAUGUUGAACCAUAAGCGCGGCGAAGGGACCGUCGAAAGGAAGAGAGGAGAAAAAGAAAGGGAAAAAAGGGUACGAAUGUACUCAGACGGAGCUGCGCGCGAUUGCAUAGUGCCCAGCGACUUUAUCAACCUACCUUCUCCUGGUUACAAUUAUAUACGAACUUCAGACGUGACCGCUACGAGCUGAUAGCAGCGCUACUUGUCGGCUCCAAGAAGACAAAACGGGACGGUCGAUAUUAUCGGCAAGAAGAUAUUUAGAAAAUGAAAGACUUUGCAUUCCCCAAAAUUCACUAUCAAUAUUGAAAAUCUAUUAUAUACAUAGUGUAAAUUGUAAAUUUUACUGACAGUGUAUAUUAAUGCGUAAUCAAAAAGAAGAAACAAAAAUAUAAAACGUGUUUUUAUA
This is an RNA transcript of Monomorium pharaonis (pharaoh ant), 2804 nucleotides long. RefSeq lists it as uncharacterized. NCBI's taxonomy places the organism in Eukaryota, Metazoa, Arthropoda, Insecta, Hymenoptera, Formicidae. The transcript is spliced from 2 exons. The record is from RefSeq and is a predicted model, not a curated record.